CCUUCGGGGUACUCGAGUGGCGAACGGGUGAGUAACACGUGGGUGAUCUGCCCUGCACUUUGGGAUAAGCCUGGGAAACUGGGUCUAAUACCGAAUAGGACCACGCGCUUCAUGGUGUGUGGUGGAAAGCUUUUGCGGUGUGGGAUGGGCCCGCGGCCUAUCAGCUUGUUGGUGGGGUAAUGGCCUACCAAGGCGACGACGGGUAGCCGGCCUGAGAGGGUGACCGGCCACACUGGGACUGAGAUACGGCCCAGACUCCUACGGGAGGCAGCAGUGGGGAAUAUUGCACAAUGGGCGCAAGCCUGAUGCAGCGACGCCGCGUGAGGGAUGACGGCCUUCGGGUUGUAAACCUCUUUCAAUAGGGACGAAGCGCGAGUGACGGUACCUAUAGAAGAAGCACCGGCCAACUACGUGCCAGCAGCCGCGGUAAUACGUAGGGUGCGAGCGUUGUCCGGAAUUACUGGGCGUAAAGAGCUCGUAGGUGGUUUGUCGCGUUGUUCGUGAAAACUCACAGCUUAACUGUGGGCGUGCGGGCGAUACGGGCAGACUAGAGUACUGCAGGGGAGACUGGAAUUCCUGGUGUAGCGGUUGGAAUGCGCAGAUAUCAGGAGGAACACCGGUGGCGAAGGCGGGUCUCUGGGCAGUAACUGACGCUGAGGAGCGAAAGCGUGGGGAGCGAACAGGAUUAGAUACCCUGGUAGUCCACGCCGUAAACGGUGGGUACUAGGUGUGGGUUCCUUCCUUGGGAUCCGUGCCGUAGCUAACGCAUUAAGUACCCCGCCUGGGGAGUACGGCCGCAAGGCUAAAACUCAAAGGAAUUGACGGGGGCCCGCACAAGCGGCGGAGCAUGUGGAUUAAUUCGAUGCAACGCGAAGAACCUUACCUGGGUUUGACAUGCACAGGACGCCGGCAGAGAUGUCGGUUCCCUUGUGGCCUGUGUGCAGGUGGUGCAUGGCUGUCGUCAGCUCGUGUCGUGAGAUGUUGGGUUAAGUCCCGCAACGAGCGCAACCCUUGUCCUAUGUUGCCAGCGGGUUAUGCCGGGGACUCGUAGGAGACUGCCGGGGUCAACUCGGAGGAAGGUGGGGAUGACGUCAAGUCAUCAUGCCCCUUAUGUCCAGGGCUUCACACAUGCUACAAUGGCCGGUACAAAGGGCUGCGAUGCCGUGAGGUGGAGCGAAUCCUUUCAAAGCCGGUCUCAGUUCGGAUCGGGGUCUGCAACUCGACCCCG
RNAcentral lists this ribosomal RNA (1228 nucleotides) under Mycobacterium sp. RNAcentral describes it as "bacterial SSU rRNA". It matches the Rfam family "Bacterial small subunit ribosomal RNA", at positions 77 to 1320 of the family's 1533-position model. Lineage: Bacteria; Bacillati; Actinomycetota; Actinomycetes; Mycobacteriales; Mycobacteriaceae. The record is from RNAcentral.